Molecule: unclassified non-coding RNA, 558 nt
Filed under: Hevea brasiliensis (rubber tree)
Lineage: Eukaryota; Viridiplantae; Streptophyta; Magnoliopsida; Malpighiales; Euphorbiaceae
Source: RNAcentral
AAUGUAUGGUUGUCGAGUGAUCCAAAAGGUAUGUGUACUCAGUGACUCUCCAUGUGAUACUUACAUUAUGAUAGUGUUUUUCUCAAUUAUACAAUAGUGCUGUUUACUUAUAUGGUUCUGUCUUAAUAGCUAAUGUUGGAGUUGCUACCAAUUGAUUUCCGCUAGUAUCUUGGGGCCUAGUCAGGCAUGACAUUAUAAAAGUUCCAGAUUGGCAUGCAGGAUUCAGGAAUUUAUCCCCACUGCACAGCGUUUGAGUAAUUGAAUUGAGUCAAAUUGCUUCAACCAGCCAAAAUUAUGGGUUUCUGUUGCAUUCCUCAAAUUUUGGAUAUUGUUAAUUUUGAGUUCAAUGCAUAGACAUCUGAUCUUUUGUUACACUUGAGUUGGGAUGGGAAGUCCCUCAUGUUCAGGGUUAACUACUUGGGUUUUUUUGUUUGGGGCAAAAUUUUAAAAUUUAAAACAUGAACAUAAUUUUAAUGUAUUUUUUUAUUAAAAAAAAUUACUGUUUGUCCCCCUUAAAAUUUUCCCUAUAAUUUUUAAAAAAUUAAUGUUUGUUCCUCC